Molecule: long non-coding RNA, 4161 nt
Organism: Dermochelys coriacea (leatherback sea turtle)
Lineage: Eukaryota; Metazoa; Chordata; Testudines; Dermochelyidae
Exons: 3
Source: RefSeq, a predicted model, not a curated record
GAGCCCCUAGAUACUGAACCCCGCCCUUGUUGCUGCCAACUCCGAUGGGCAGAAGGGUUACAACAGAAUACGAUUGUUUAUUAGUUCUCAGUAGAUAAUGAGGCCAAACCACAAAGUUUGGAGCUGAAUUUCCCAAUAGCUUGAACUGUUCAGAUCACAGGCUUUGGUUCAGGUCAUUAUAGGCCCACUGGCUUCCAGAUCAAAACUAUCCAAGGGCUCGGGAUGUUCAGAUAGGGAGUUUGGAUACAGUCCCAUUUCUGGUUGUCUGUAAAGUUACAAGGCCAAAUUCUCUCCGUUAUGCUAUAGCCAGUCCAUUGGCUUCAGUGCAAUGGCACCAGUGUUAAGAGAUUAGGCCAUACCAUUUAUUUACUGAUUACAUAUUAAAUACAUGUAAAUAAAUACCGAGUUGAAAACAGACUGUCCCCAAUAGACAGUUGUAUAUUUCACCUGAAAGAAUCUGAACGACUAAAGACAGCUCACUGUGUAAUGAAAGAAGCUAUGCACACUUUUCCGCCAGUCAUGCUUUUUUAAUGAGAAGCUUUGCCAAGCAACAAAACAAAAGGUUCCUGCAAUCAGUUUACUUCCACAAACAGCAGAUUAAGAACCAGUUCUAAACUUAGGGAUGCAAAGUAACUUGCAUUCUAACAGCAGGUUUUUGAGGGCUAGUAACAGAUGCAAAACCUGCUGUGACUGGAUGGAUUAUUUCAAUACAACAGAAAAUGAUAGUGGGGUAAAAAACUAUGCAACAGCCGAUUGAAAAGGAAAUUUGUUUUUCUUCUCCAAAAAUAUUACUGAUAGUUACCCAUUUUUGACCCGGAGCAGUUAACUAAAAUUUGGGGCCCUGCAGAUUGAUUCCAUUAGGAGGAUAAAUUGAUGAUGAAGUCAGCUGUCUUUGAUGCAACCGUGUUGAUUUUUAGAAUGUACAAAGUCCUCUUUCCCUGAACACUGGAGGGAUCAAACAGAAAAUAGUUACUUUGCUUACAGCAUCAAGCCUUUUUGCUCACAGCUCCAAGCCUCUUCUAGGCAGCACUCUGCCCAAAAGCUCUGUCAUUUACCUUUUUCUCAAGGUCAUGCUACUAAUGCUUCUGUUGCUACAUCCUUCUCUGUCCCUUCUACUGUUUCUCUCACCAAACAAUAGUCAGUGAAACCCCACUGCUCACAUGUGCCUUUGGUUUAGGUGGUGACAAUGUGCCUCUGUUUGGGAUGGAGAAUGCUACCCAGCUACAUAAAGGAGCAUCUUACAACAAUCUGAAAUGUAGGGCAGUAGGUACAAUGGAUUGGGUUUGAAAGUGGGGCAUGUAAAACAGACUCUUAAGGAGCUGACACGUAUAAUUUAACUAACCUUACUAGUGUGCUGCAGCAGUAAAGAAAACAAAUAGGGUGCAUGGUGCAUGCAUAAAGGGGGAAGAAAGUCAUAUGGAAAAUCUUAGUGAUACGAUAUAUAACUAAUAUUAAACUCCCUCAUCUGCCAUGCAGUGGUGUUUUUGGUUACUGUUACCUGAGUUAACAAGAGCCAGAGGGAUGAUAUGGCAAAGGUUCAAAGAAGGGCAAUGAGAAUUACUCUUAGAGGUUACUCUUAGAAUAUUUAGAUUGGCUAGCCUUUUUGACAAUGCCACUCCCGUGCACCAACUCCCUUGUCCCAAUUUUGUAUAAAAAAUUAGUCAGUGGAAGGGGAACUUGUACUUGGAUCUCCAACAGCCCAGUCAAAUGCCCUUACCAGAGGACUGUGGAGUCCAGCUCAUGUUUUCUAUGGCCUAAUGAUUUAUAUUUAUGCAAAGUGGAACAGAUUCAACAGGCGAGACAGAGAGACCCUGCACCCAAAUAUCUCAUAGCCCCGUGCUUAGGGCACUCACCUGGGACCUGGGGUCAAAUCCCGACUCCACAUGAGGCAGAAGAGGCAUUUGACCCCGGGUCUAGCACUUCCCAGAUAAGUACUCUAAUCAGUGGGCCAACAGCAGGCUCCGUCUCAUAUAUUUUGAGAAAGGGCUUAGAUACCUACCUCCAGCAGAGGGCUCACAGCUGUGAGUCCUGAACAGAGAGAGGCACUCCCAGCAGCUCCGAGUUAGGUGCCUAAUUCCCUUUGAGGGAUGGGGUGUAGACCACACCCCUUGCCUCAGCAUUUCCCUGUUGGCUUGUUUAGGUGACUCCCAACUCAGCUUGCUGGCUUCUGUGAAUCUCACUCUUAGGUGACUAACUAUCCCUGUGCAUUGUAUAGGGAGCCUGGGUAUUUACUCAGGGCUGUGGAUGGCACUAGGCGGCAGGAGUUAGGCGUUGCAACAUGAGUUUAAGUCCCUUUGCGGAUCUAGCCCAAAGGGACAGUUUUGAACUGCCCUCUCUUUCUUUCUUUCAAAGUGUCAAGCUGCCCAUUCACCAAUCAUCUGUGGACUCUCGGCAACUCUUUUAACCCAUUUUACUCCCAAUCCUGCAAAACUUUAGUAGACAGAACUUCCAUGAAUUCAUUGGCACUAGUGGCAUGAGUAAAGUGAGCAGGAUUUUGUUAGAGGUAUGGUAAGUUAGCCACUACAUAUGUUAGGCACAGUAUACACCUUUUUAAUAGGUAUUAUGUGCAUGGUUUUAAUAUGAUAUAUGUGUGUGUGCUGGGACAUUAUGUUUACUGGGCACAAGCAAACAAUAUGCAUUUUAAUACAGCUAAAUGUAAUGUAUACAUCUAGGAACAAAGAGUGUAGGUUAUACCUACAGAAUGGGAGACUCUAUCCUGCGAAGCAGUGACCCUGAAUGAGAUUUGGGGGCUAUGGUAGAUAAUCAGCAGAACAGUAGUUCUUUUGGCCAAUGUCACACUGGGAGCUUAUGCAAUCCUGGGAUGUGUGAACAGGGAAAUGUCAAGUAGGAGUCGAGAGGUUAUUUUACCUCUGUAUUGGCACUGAUGCAACUGCUGCUAAAAUACUGUGUACAGACCUAGUGCUCACAAGUCCAGGCAAAUGUUGAUUAAUUGGAGAGAAUUCAGAGAAGAGCCAUGAGAAUGAUUAAAGGAUUAGAAAACUUAUUUUAUAAUGACAGACUCAAGGAGCUCAAUCUAUUUGGCUUAACAAAAAGAAGGUUAAAGGGUGGCUUGAUUACAGGCUAUAAGUACCUAGAGAGGGAACAAAUAUUUAAUUUGAGUUCUUCAAUCUAGCAGAGAAAGAUAUAACACAAUCCAAUGCCUGGAAGUUGAAGCUAAACAAAUUCUGACUAGAAAUAAGGCGUGGAUUUUUAAUUGUGAGUGUAUUUAACCAUUGGCUUUAAUCAAAGGUCAUGGAGAAAAAUUCUGUGGCUAGAUUUAGUGAUAGUAAUAACAAACCUACAUUGGAUGAAAGAUGCUAGAUCAGAUAGUUCCUGAAGUCUUUACAAGCUUUAUUAAAUGACUGAAUAAAACUAUCUACUGCAUUAUUGCAGUACUGAGCGUGGGGUUUAGAACCCAAACUCUCAAGAAAUGCAGAAGUUGAAGCUCCCACAAAAACAUUAACUUGCCCACGUUGCACAUCCUGUGUUAAGUCAUGGCAUACAUUGAGCAAUAUACAAAGUUAUAUAUUGGUAGGGCAGAAGGAAAACACCUGUGCUUAGGGCACAGAAUUGGAAGUAUGGAGACAUGGUUCUAACUUCUAAUCCUAUAUCUGCCCUAGGCUUCCUGUGUGACCAUGGGCAGCCAUGAAAGCCAAGAGUGCUGACUGAUUUGGGGCAUCAACCUGGAACAUCUUGGGAUUGGUUUUCAGAAGUGCUGAGCACCCACAGUUCAAGGUGGAGUCAAUGGAAAUAAGGCUCCAUCACAAUGGGAUUUUCAUAGCAUUGUGCCUCCAGUAUGGGAAGCAGGAUCAUCCUUUAAAUGUGGACAUUCCAAACAAUGAUUCUGACCUGUCAAAAGAAAGCCUGGAACUGUAUAAAAACACCUUGGGUCCUGAUCCUUUUCAUCUCAGAUCUGCUUAAUGCUUCAUGCAGGGGAAUCUUAAACCAUAAGGCCGAGAUCUCCAGUCCUAAUCUGGAUCACCCUGAAUAUGAACAUUGGACUAUAACCUAUGGAUUAAUUCUAAAAGAACUCUUUGCAACUACAAAGCUCACCAUCUCUACUAUGAAUCUAAUCUCAAAACUGUACUCGUGUCUAUAUGUAUAGUGAUCUUUUAACCAAUAAUCUCUCUUCUUUUUAAUAAAUUUUAGUUUAGUUAAUAA